UGUGGUUCGGCGUAGGUUAUCUGCUAACAAAACUUUUAUAUACCAGGAUCUUGUUUCUAUUUUACGUCGCGGAUGAAUUUUGCCAUAAACAAGGAUGAUGAACGAUAGCGGUAUCGCUCGUUAUGUAUUUUUAUGUGUGAAAAGAGACGUCUCCCAUUUUUAACAAAGCAAUUUGUAUUUUCGGAAUAAUUCGUACGCUGUAGACGCUGAUUCACAAUGCAAGAAUGGAGGUAGACAAGCCCUAACGUUAGGAAAAUACACACGUAAUCCAUGUUCAUGGUACAUUUUGUAGAUUGGCUCUCUUCUGCGUUCUACGACAGUGGUCAACUACAAGGGAUUUUCGAUCUUCCAUGUCCAUGUUUAUUCUGUAUAUUUAGUCACUAUUGCGUCAUAUUGUUUUUAGCCAGUGUUUAGGCAUAUGCUCGGCCUUGAAGCAGGGAGGGAUCUUUAUCGUGCCACACCUGCUGUGACACGGCGCCUCGGUUUUUGCGGUCUUAUCCAAAUGACCGUCCCAUUUAGUCGCCUGUCACAAGUAAGGGGUACUGAAGACCUAUUCUAACCCGAAUCAUGAAAGUGUAUCGCUGAUUCUAUGCAAAUACAGAUUUAAGGACAUUUUUAUAGAUGAGAGUUUCUUGUUCUCUUUACGGUAAAAGUAACCUGCAAAGGGCUAGUUGUAUUCGGCGCGUCCGCGCGUCAAUCGGGGCCAAUGUAUAGGGCUGCACAGUGUUCGGCGAGACUUCGCGAGAUUUCGUUUCUGGAGAUAAACAAUUAUGUCGAGUGUCACACGAUACUUAGUGCGAUGACGUUUUCGAUCUUUUACUGGGGAUAUUACAUAUUUGGAACAAAAUUUUUAGUAUCAAAUCUUGAAUAACUGUUCAUUAAGAUCUGUUGCUACAUGUAAGAUUACUUACGUAAAAGAGAUGUACUAUGUCUGUGGUGAAACACGAAGCUCAAGGUUCCAUGCGAGACUGAAGCUACAGUCAGCUGUUACGGUAUGUUAAAUUUUAGUCCUUUGAGAGGUAGAAUAUAGAUUUUAAUUAACAAGAAACUAAUUUUUGAUUUCCAAUUAUUCUAAAAGCUAUGUGAUGAAGUUUUAAAGGUAAGAAAAACCAUACACCACCACUACCACCACCCCUCACACAAAUUUCAACAUGAAUUAAAAUUAUCCGCGGCUAGCAGUUUACCGUUGUUGUCAAACCCUGAGUAUGCAUAUCAGUAUUCAGUUUCUCCUAAAGAAAACUACUAUAAGGGUGACUGACUGCAACUAACUUAAUUUAUGUGUUUAGAUCAAAAUUGGUAACAUCAAUAAUCAUUGAAAACAUAGCACAAUCCAUAAAACUUUGUGAAUGGGUAUGAGAAAGAACAAAUCACUACCCAGCUGGCAUUAUUCUCUAUAGUUUUUGUAUUUACACAAAGAAUAGAUAAGUGAUAGCAAAUAUCAGUAAAAUAUAAUUGAAGAGAGCUCUUUAAAUCAAAUAAUUAAAGGGGAAAAUGUAUAUAUAUUAUGUAUUUGUAUUAUAAAACUGUCUUGAUCCCAGUACAUUUUCUAGAUCUUUGUUUAUGAAAGUUUAUCAAAUGAAGACAAACUAGUGAUUUAUUUUAGUGAGAGUCUUCAUAUGUUAUAUUCAUAUUAAGCAAUAAAAUCAUGAUCAUAUUUGAAAACCUCAGCUCAUAAUUAUAUAACUAAAUUCUACUUUUCAAAAUGUAUUCAUUUCAAUUAUUAGAUGUAGGAAUGUCUUGAAAAUAGAUGUCGGACAAUCACCGAUGUACGAUCUUAAGUCUGUACCACCCCAGACUCAACAAACCAAAAAAAGAUGGGCUCUAUUCCUUGCACUGUGCAAAUAACAGAACUGUCAACAACAGGUAAUCACAUUUUGAUGGGUUACUGCUAUGCUUGACAUGUAAGAAGGUAUCUUACUUGUUUUAAUUUUGAAGCACAGGUACAUGAGAUGAAGAACACUACUGUAGUAGAACUGCAGCCACAGUUCUAUAUCUACAUGUAGGUACUAUACAUAAAGUUGAUCAAUCUAUUAAUAGUUAGUUCUCUACUUGUGAGGGAUGUGGAACACAUAGUAUCAAUGUUAUCAUCAUUUGUGAUACUAUAACCAUGAAUACUUGUAACUUUGUCUCAAACUAAUAACUAAAGGUUACCAAGUAGACUAGUUGAUACUAUAAAAAUGAAUUACCAGUGAUGAACAUAACCAUGUUAAUCCAUUUGAAUAUUUUUGCCAUAUUAAACUACAUGUACUUCCAUUAACACUUUGAUUUCGAAGUAGUGCAUGUGACUUUCGAAAGAAAUAUAAUACCGGUAAUAUGUUUUAAUAAACGUCAAUAUAUAUCAUAAGUUUUGGUUUCUUAUAAACGAGUGCUUCAUAUUUAUGUCAGCAGUUUAUAAGAUUAUUCUCUUUCAAUCUUCAACAACAAUAAUGCAUUGGAAACUGGUUCCGGACCACCUGUAGCCAAAGAUUUGGUGUGUCUACUGUGAAGGACCUGAUUUCAAGCCAUGACUCUCUAUCUACACGGAUACCUUAAGGUGCAUAGCGAUACCAUGUCGGCGCUCGUUCAACAAUCAACGGCAGUCCUUUCUUUCUUGGCUUAGUCCCGUGUGGAUCCAGAUUACAAUAGGUCCUCAGUACCCCUUGCUUGUCGAAAGAGGCGCAACUGAAUGGUGAGGUCCUUCGGAUGAGACCACAAAAACCGAGGCCCCGUGUCAGAGCAGGUGUGGCACAAUAAAAAUCCCUCCCUGCUCAAAGGCAUACGCACCGAUCAUGAACCUAAUUUCACAGCCCUUCACCGGGUAUGGUCACGUCUACAUAUGUGUGAAAGAUUCUCGAAUUGGACCCAUUGGGUGGAAUACCUGUCAGUUACCUUUAGGUGCUCCCCAGAGAUCUGGUUUGGAACCCAAAGUAUUUUCGCAAGACCCACAGGAACAAUAUUCCAUGGCCAUGAUAUUAAGUGAAAGGAGAAAAUAUCAAACAGUGAUCAACCCCACAACUCCUAAAAGCAAUACAAAAUAGAGAGUUGGGUAAUCACGGACCCCUGGACACACCAGAGGCGGGACCAUGAGCCCAGGAGGAGCAAGCAUCCCCUGUCGACCGGUCACACCCGCCGUUAGCCCUACAUCUUGAUCAGGGAAACGGAGUUAUCCGUAGUCAAAAUUAGUGUGCCAAGAAAGGCCUAACAAUCGAUAUGAAACAGGUCAGACAGUAUGUGACCCAAUGAUAGGUUGUAUUGGUAAACCACAUGUAGAUCGUUAUACCAACCAUAGAAUUCGGUAAAUGCUUACUUUAAACGAGACUGUUGAAACCCCUGCACCGUCAAUGUGUUUGUCAGUAGCCUGUCUCGAUAUAAAGAUCGAUCAUACACAGAACAAGCUCUUGCGUAUCGUACCAGUUGAGAGAUAUAAACACUAUAUGCAGGUGAUAAUGGAAUAUUGCUACAUAAAUAUGGGAGAUGGAGAAGCUGAAAUCAUCCCGUUUAUCAUUAAGUUGAGUAGUUAGUUUGCCGUUAAUAUUUAUUUUUGAUAAAAUAUCUAAGUAUGAAGCAGACGUGGACAACUUUGUAGUGUCUUUUAUUUCGAGUUCAUAGUGACAUAUCGAAUCGACAUAUGAAUGAAAAUUAUUAUUGUUAAAGAAAGGUGAAGAUAACGAACAGUGAUCAAUUUCGUAACUCCUAUAAGCAAUACAAAAUAGAUAGUUGGGCAAACACGGACCCCUGGAAACACCAGAGGUGGGAUCAGGUGCCUAGGAGGAGUAGGCAUCCCCUGUCGACAGAUCACACCUGCCGUGAGCACGUCGUCGAUAUAUCUAAAUGUUGAAUUGAAUCAGGUCAGCUAACGAAGGAACACAGUUCGUGCCCAUGUGAAUUCCAACAGAUUGUUGGAAGACCUGAUCACCAAAGACUACGAAGAUAUUGUCAAUGAGGAACUGCAGCAUAUUCUUUAUUUCAACUUCAGAGUACUUGGGCGUGGAAUCAGAGUGGUGUUUAAGAAAGUAAAAACAUUGUCGAUCCCACAAAAUUGUUUGCACACAUUCAAUACUUUUCUCAGAAUAUGAAAAAAAUAAGAAAUAACAUUUUAACUAGUUGCCAUAAGAAAAACUCUUUAAAAAUGAUUACUUCAUGAUUUGGGAUCAUUGGAAAUGUGCUGUGUUUUGGGAUCGAGAUGUCAACACUCGCCCUAUAUGUCAUAGAAUUACCAUUGAACAUCUCAAUCCAAAUAGUGCAGAGAAAAUGCGAAAUAAUCUUGCUAAGGAUAUAUAUGCUCAAUGUUUUAUUUAUUGGAAGCACAUCAAGCAACCCUGAGUAGUGGCGAACAUCUUAAUGCCUCCAUACAGAUGUUAUAACAAACAAGCAAAAUUAUCUCUGUUUUAGGACAGUCGACCUCUUACCUCUAUGGAAGAUUCUAAAUAUAUUAAAAUCUGGUUUCAGGAAUGAAAAUUUCACAACUGAAAGCAAGUGGAAUCAACACAACUAAAGUUCUUAUAUCUCAGAAAUGCUUAGAAGAUAUUGAGAGCAUGUUACUUACUUUUAAAAACAAUCUACAGAAUUCAUCUCCAUCGAUUUCCACAUAACUAUAUUGUACCAUCAAGAAUCAAUAUAUAUGUUGUGGAAAAUAUCUUCUGCCAGCAACGUGGUUUGUACGAUGGUAGCUCUACAAACCCAACUUAAAAUACAUACAGCCCAAUACAUAAUGUGUAACAAUGAGAUAUUGACUUGCUCAUUAACUUACCCGGUAGAAGUCCUAAGAUUUUAAAGACAAGGCACUGAAAGUUUGUGAGUAAAUAUCAUUCAGUCAAAAAUAAACUAGUAUUAAUUAUAACAGGUGGGUAAAUAUGCUACCGUUUCUGAGAAACUUCCGGAUAGAAUAUGCUAAAAACACAGACAUUUGGCUAUAGUUGCCGAUCGGAAGCAAAUUUGUAAAACAGAUAAACUUCUCUAGACAUUUUCAAUACCCAUUACAUGUAUCUCUGAGUGUAAGUUUCAAGAAAAUCCAUUGCACCACCUUUGAGAAAUUCUGCCGAAAAAAAGGGGGGGAUUAAGAAAAACAGUAGAAUCAUUGUAAGACUCUUAAGUUGAAAAUGGAAGACCAAACACUGCCAAGGCCUCACUUUCGAUGGGAGCAUACCUGCUUUCAGCUGGGUGUGUAAACCUGCUUCCAACUAAGCAUAGCUUCCAGCCAUCAUUGAAUCUCUCUGUCUUCAGACUGAUAAUGAAAGGCGAAGAUAACGAACAGUGAUCUAUAUUGUAUUGUUUGUGGGAGUUGUGAGAUUGAUCGCUGUUCGUUAUCUUCACCUUUCAAUAGUGGCGGACUUUUAAACCUUAGGAACAAAAAGGGAUUUCAUGUAUAUUGAAGUCUUUAAGAGCUAACAGUAUUUAAAGCAAUAUGAGCUGUAACUGACGGCAUUUUUUCAACUAUCCAAUUAUGCAUCAAUUAACUCCUAUCGGCAUAACUGAUAUAAUCACCAAGAUCUGAAGAAACAUUCAGCAAAAUAAAGAAGGGAAUAUUGUUUGAGAGCAUACCUACAAUGAGCAUUUCGUAUAAACCGCCAUUGCGUCGUAUACGCAGACAUGAGAACGAUGGUUGCCGAACAUAAUCGGGUUACUGAGACCGAUGUCAUAUAUAAAGAUGGAAACUGACGUGAAUAACUACACGUUUCGUUUGUUCAAAAUAUUCCAUCGUUUCAUGAAUGACAAGAAGUACUACAAGUGUAAGAAAGUAAUAAUUACGCAAAUGUGCAACUGAAAUGAAAUUUUGGUAGUGAUUUUCUAUACAAUUGGCAUGUUAAAUUGUUUACAAAUCUAACACGUGCUCAGUGCCUCCCUUUCGCUUUUUUCCGAACUGGUGACCUCUGAGGCCUAUGCACAUCGGAGAUUACGAGCAGGAAUUACUGACAGGAUGACAAUGAUUCAUGAAUCGACAAUUUCUGCUGAUCUGACGGGUUUAUUGCUUCAGAUUCACUCUGAUUCCAUUAAGUUGUAUGUAUUUAAUCACAAAUGUUAAAUAUUUGUUCUUUUAAUUUUCAAUUUAUUUACCGUCAGUUACAGCUUGUAUUGCUUUAAUGAACAACACUUUAGUUCUAAUACCUAAGGUAUAGUAAGUAAACACUUAAAGAAUGGGAGAUGGUGAUCGACUAGUGCGAAAUACCAAAUUAGAAUGGGGGUAUGACUCUUCUUUGCAACAUUCAAAGUACCAAAUCUGGCUGUGACGCAUGGCUGCCUAUGUUAUUUCCAUUCUUACACGUGACCAGGCAUUUGAAUGUAUGUGGAAUAUGACUGUUAACUUGAAAAUUGGCAUAUAUAACAACAUCCCCAAUGAUAACUGUAGAACUUCAAGUGCGAAAUAUAUUUAAGAGAGAGCUGAACACACGAGGAGCUAACAAAUCUUUUCAUUCGGCUAACACCAUAUGUAUGACAAACCAGGUUAUUGAUAGCAUGAAAGAACAAUUCAUGUACACAACCAAAUCAAGACAAAUCUAAAGACUAAAUCCAUAAGGAGUAAAGGACCAGUGAGGAGUAUCUGCUGGGAUAGUUUUUCGAACUUCGCCAAACGGAUGUGCCAAAACUGCAUGAAUGGAUAAAUGAACGGAAAGAGAUUGCUGAAGUGUAUAUGUAAAACUUACACUUUCCUGUUUGGUCAUGUGACAUGUCUCAGGUUAAGUAGAUUGCAUAUUUAUUAGGUGCAUAUAUUAUACAGUGGAAUACGCCGGUUUCGAGAUACGUCUUAUUUAUUUCUAUUUAGAGAACUUUCGUACAUUGUAAGGUGCAAAUCUUUUUACAUGCGGGAUUGGUACUGACAAAUAAGUUGAUGGUACAGGGGUUUCAACAGUCUCGUUUAAAGUAAGCAUUUACCGAAUUGUAUGGUUGGUAUAACGAUCUAGUUCGUCAAUACAACCUCGCAUUGGGUCAAAUGCUGUCUGACGUGUUUCAUACCGAUUGUUAAGCCGUUCUUGGCACACUGAUUUUGACUGCGAAUAACUCCGUUUACCUGAUCAUGAUAUAGGGGUCACGGCGGGUGUGACCGGUCAACAGGGGAUGAUUACCCCUCCUAGGCACCCGAUCCCACCUCUGGUGUGUCCAGGGGUCCGUGUUUGCCCAACUCUCUAUUUUGUAUUGCUUAUAGGAGUUAUGAGAUUGAUCACUGUUCGUUAUCUUCACCUUGCAUAAGUGAAUGUGCUCAGUAAGCUUCUGAUACGAAGUUUUAUCACCCGAAUUUGAUCGAUACACAAACUUAGUAAGUGAUAAGUAAUUAAAGGGAGUAAUUAAAUACAUGGAGUUCUUCUUAUAUCAAGUUAUUUCGUUACUCAUGCGUAUCAUAUCCAGGAUAUUACUUGUAAAUACGAUAUUGUAUUUAUGUUUCCACUUUAAUAAAACAUAACAUUUCUUUAGAUAGUAUUUUGAAUUGCCUACAUUUAAAUAUUCAAGAGAAACCGUUUAAAUUUGUUUUUCAUCUUCCUCACUGACUGUAGGUCCACUGUCCGACUUUGGACUGCCGCGGUGGUCUAGAUUGUUUGAUUGAUUGUUUUGAUGUUUUUCGCCACACUCAUGAAUUUUUCAGUUAUAUGGUGGCGCCCAGUUUUUCAUUGGUAGAAGAGAGAACCCAGAUACAAUGUACCUGGGAGGAGACCACCGACCUUCUGAAAGUAAACUGGAAAACUUUCUCAAUUAUCGGCGCGAGAAGGAUUCAAACUCGCGCCGACCAGAAGUGAGAGGUCGUGUGAUUUUGAGCGCGAUGCUCUAACCACUCGGUCACGGAGGCAUUCUCUCACCAGACGGCGCGUUACGCAAGCCUAUGCUCGGCGCUUACGGCCUUUGAGCAGGGAGGGUUGAUUGAUUGAUUGAGGUUUUACGCCGUUUUAGCAAUAUUACAGCCAUUUUACGGCGGUUAACUAAUUGAAUGAUGUUUGGUUGUGAGUGUUUGAGUUUCCCUGACGGCCCCCAGUGAGCCUACUCUAUUUCGAACAUCAAGGAAACGAUCUUUUGCGUGCCAAGGAGGUUGUGAUCCUUGACACGGAACACCCUUUAACGUCCCAUCCGACGGACAUAAAAGUUAAAAAUAUAUAAACAGGUUAAAAAACAAUCAAUUCGUGUAUAUAAACAGUUGUAUUAUAAAAGUUUUCAAAUUUUUCUGUAAAAGUCGCAUUCUUGUAAAUAUUGUAUAAUAUAAUGAUAGUCGAUAUUUGUAAAAAGUUCUUUCAUUGAUUGUACACUAUUAAACAGUCUAUUUCGUAUAUAUGGGCGUAAAAUCACUACAUUCUAAAAGAAUGUGAUGUAUAGUUAAUGGACAGUCACAAGAUAUGCAUUCAGGCUGAGGUUCUCUGUUGAGUAGGUACGGAUGUGUCAAUUUUGAAUGUCCGAUGCGUAUUCGUAAAAUAAUCACUUCGUCUUGGCGUUUCAUUACGAUGUUACACGAUUUGUUUACUUUGUUUUGAACAGAUUAAAGUUUACUUAUGUCACAAAAAUCCCAAUAGAUUUGCCUAAGAGAAUUAACAUAUAGUUUUAUGAAAUAUUUAAAAUCAGUGUAUGGAAUUUUGAAGUGUACUUUUGGCCGCUUUGGUGUUGCCAUGGAUAUCAAUGUGACUUGGGACCCAGCAGAACUCAGCUAUUUUACCUUGUUUAGUUAAAAGAUAGUACCGGUGUAAGAUAUCUAAAAUAUAUGGAUGAUCAAUAUUCAUGUUGUUUAUUGACUGAAGGCAUGAUAGAGAGUCUGACAAUAUAGUAAAAUGUUUGUCAUUAAAAGUUUUUAUGUAUUCAAACUCAAGCUGAAUAGCCUUUGCUUCGGCGGUAUAAAUUGUUGCUUCAUUUGGAAGUCGUGCAGAGAAAACGUCGUUUGAGAUUACUGCAGUAGCAGCGACUUUAUUUUGAUCUUUUGAACUAUCUGUAUAGAUAUCAGUUGUAGUAUGUUUGGAUUGUUU
This is a long non-coding RNA of Ostrea edulis (European flat oyster), 8912 nucleotides long. RefSeq lists it as uncharacterized. The transcript has 4 exons. Lineage: Eukaryota; Metazoa; Mollusca; Bivalvia; Ostreida; Ostreidae. The record is from RefSeq and is a predicted model, not a curated record.